AGCGAACGCUGGCGGCAGGCCUAACACAUGCAAGUCGAACGGACCUUUCUGGGUUAGUGGCGGACUUGAGGGUAACCCGUGGGAACGUUCCUUUAGGUUCGGAAUAGCUUCUGGAAACGGGUGGUAAUUCCGAAUGUGUCCUUCGGGGGCAUGAUUUCUUUCCUUUAGAGCGGACCGCUUCUGAUUAGCUAGUUGGUUAAUGUAACGGAUCACCAAGGCGUAGAACAGUAGCUGUUCUGUAAGGAUGGCCAGACACAUUGGGACUGAGACAAGGCCCAAACUCCUACGGGAGGAAGAAGGGGGGAAUCAGGAGCAAUGGGCGAAAGACGGAGGCAGCCAGGCCGCGUGAAUGAGGAAGGACAGAGGAUUGUAAAAGUCUGUCACCGGGGAAGAUAAUGACGGUACCCGGAGAAGAAGCCACGGCUAACUACGUG
RNAcentral lists this ribosomal RNA (434 nucleotides) under uncultured bacterium. RNAcentral describes it as "partial 16S ribosomal RNA". It matches the Rfam family "Bacterial small subunit ribosomal RNA", at positions 29 to 507 of the family's 1533-position model. The record is from RNAcentral.